RNAcentral lists this ribosomal RNA (233 nucleotides) under uncultured bacterium. Its description in RNAcentral is "partial 16S ribosomal RNA". It matches the Rfam family "Bacterial small subunit ribosomal RNA", at positions 118 to 347 of the family's 1533-position model. The record is from RNAcentral.
UGAGCAAUCUGCCCUUCUCAUCGGAAUAAGCGUUGGAAACGACGUCUAAUGCCGAAUACGACCUCCUUUCGCAUGAUCGGAGGUGGAAAGCUCCGGCGGAGAAGGAUGAGCUCGCGGCCUAUCAGCUAGUUGGUGUGGGUAACGGCCCACCAAGGCGACGACGGGUAGCCGGCCUGAGAGGGUGACCGGCCACACUGGGACUGAGACACGGCCCAGACUCCGUACGGGAGCAG